CAGCACCUCAAGUGGUCAGGAUGAUUAUUGGGCCUAAAGCAUCCGUAGCCGGCGCUGUAAGUUUUCGGUUAAAUCUGUACGCUCAACGUAUGGGCUGCCGGGAAUACUGCAAAGCUAGGGAGUGGGAGAGGUAGACGGUACUCGGUAGGAAGGGGUAAAAUCCUUUGAUCUAUUGAUGACCACCUGUGGCGAAGGCGGUCUACCAGAACACGUCCGACGGUGAGGGAUGAAAGCUGGGGGAGCAAACCGGAUUAGAGACCCGAGUAGUC
This 269-nucleotide ribosomal RNA is filed under the name uncultured archaeon. RNAcentral's name for it is "partial 16S ribosomal RNA". It matches the Rfam family "Archaeal small subunit ribosomal RNA", at positions 477 to 746 of the family's 1478-position model. The record is from RNAcentral.